CCCCUCUCAGUAUUGUACCUGGAGAGUUUCCCGUACUCUACCAGUCUCAGCUACGGGAGGGAGAGUCAAGCAGAGGCAUAUCCAUUCCAUUCCUAGCUUGUAACUAGCAAAUGGAAGGUAAUUUGCUACACAU
Tachyglossus aculeatus (Australian echidna) is the source of this 133-nucleotide small nucleolar RNA. The record is from RefSeq and is a predicted model, not a curated record. NCBI's taxonomy places the organism in Eukaryota, Metazoa, Chordata, Mammalia, Monotremata, Tachyglossidae.